This 1767-nucleotide long non-coding RNA is filed under the name Heterocephalus glaber (naked mole-rat). RNAcentral describes it as "lncRNA (ENSHGLG00000041412.1)". Lineage: Eukaryota; Metazoa; Chordata; Mammalia; Rodentia; Bathyergidae. The record is from RNAcentral.
CAUCCUCCUCCUUCUCUAGCAGACAUCGCUAGCCCUACUCCUCCUCCUCCCUUCUCCUCCUCCUUCAUUCCUCCUCCUUCUCUUCCUCCUCCUUCUCUUCUACAAGACAUCGCUGGCCCUCCUCCUCCUCCUCAUCUUCCUCUUCCAGACAUCGCUGGCCCUCCACCUCCUCCUCCUCCUCCUCCACCACCACCGCCAGACAUUGCUGGCCCUCCUCCUCCUUCUCCUCUUCUACCAUACUUUUCUGGCCCUACUCCUCCUCCACCAGACAUCUCUGGCCCCCCCUCCUCCUCCUCUUCCUCCUUCUCCUCCUCUUCCUCCUCCUUCUCUACCAGACAUCACUGGCCCUACUCCUCCAGCUCCUCCUCCUCCUCCUCUACCAGACAUUCAGUGCACUCAUCCUCCCCUAAAAGACAUUGCUGGCCUUACUCCUCCUCCUCUGCCAGAUAUUGCUGGCCCUCCCCCUCUUCUUUGUCCUCCCCCCCUCAAUCAUCGCCUUCCAGACAUCAUUGGCCCUCUUUCUCCUCAUCCUACUCCUCUAAGAGGCAUUGCUGAUGCUCCUCCUCCUCUACCGGACAUCACUGGCCCUUCUCCUCCCUCUGCUCCCUCCUCCUCCUCCCCGAUACAUUUCUGGGCCUCCUCCUCCUCUACCAGACAUCGCUUGCCCUCUUCCUCCUCCUCCUCCGACAGACAUCACUGGCCCUCAUCCUUCUCCUCCUUCUCUACCAGACAUCGCUGGCCCUCCUCCUCCUCCUCCUCUACCAAACACUGUGGGCCUUCCUCCUACUCUUCAUCCUAAUCCUCCUCCUUCUCUAUCAGACAUUACUAGCCCUCCUCCUCCUUCUCCUCUUUCUUCUCUUCCUCCUCCUCCUUCCCUUCCUCCUCCUCUUCUACCAGACAUCGAUGACCCUCCUCCUCCUCCUCAACCUCCUCCUGUACCAGACAUUGCUGGCAGUAUUUCUCCUACUACUACUCUUAUUCCAGACAUCCAUGCCUCUCCUCCUCUGCCUCCUUCUCCUCCUCUUCCUCCUCCUUCUCUACCAGAUAUCACUGGCCCUCCUUCUACUCCUCCUACUCCUACUCUACCAGAUAUUGAGGGCCCUCAUCCUCCUCCUCCUGUACCAGACAUUGCUGGCCCUCCUGCUCCUAAGCCUCCUCCUCCUCAAGACAUUGCUGGCCUUCCUGCUCCUCCUCCUCCUCCUCCUCAUCAUCAUCCUCCUUGUCCUCUACCAGACACCGCUGGCCUUCCUCCUCCUCCUCCUCAUUCUCCUCCUUCUCUACCAGACAUCACAAGAGCUUCUCCUCAUCCUCCUUCUCCUCUAGCAGACAUUGCUGGCCUUCCUCCUCCACCUGAACCAGACAUCACUGGCCUUCCUCCUCCUCCUCCUCAUCCUUCUCUUCCAGACAUCACUGGCCCUCCUCCUCCUCCUCCCCGUCCUCCUCCUCCUCUACCAGACAUUGAGAGCCCUCAUCCUCUUCCUCCUCUACCAGAUAUUGCUGGCCUUCCUGCUCCUCCUCCUCCUCUUCAUCAUCAUCAUCCUGCUCCUCCUUCUCUACCAGACAUCGCUGGCCUUCCUCUUCCUCCUCCUUCUCAUCCUCCUCCUCUACCAGACAUCACUGGCCCUGCUCCUCAUCCUCCUCCUUCUCUACCAGACAUUGCUGGCUUUCCUCCUCCUCCUUCUCUAUGACACAUUGCUGGCCUUCCUCUUCCUCCUCUUCUACCAGACAUCACUGGCCUUCCUACCCCUCCUCCUCCUCUUCCUCCUC